Molecule: transfer RNA, 72 nt
Filed under: Sporolithon durum
Lineage: Eukaryota; Rhodophyta; Florideophyceae; Sporolithales; Sporolithaceae
Description: tRNA-Cys
Rfam family: tRNA
About the family: Transfer RNA (tRNA) molecules are approximately 80 nucleotides in length. Their secondary structure includes four short double-helical elements and three loops (D, anti-codon, and T loops).
Source: RNAcentral
GGCUAGAUAACAUAAUGGUUAUGUAUAAGAUUGCAAAUCUUUAGUAUAUCGGUUCGAAUCCGGUUCUAGCUU